This is an RNA transcript of Erigeron canadensis, 1549 nucleotides long. RefSeq lists it as uncharacterized. The record is from RefSeq and is a predicted model, not a curated record. NCBI's taxonomy places the organism in Eukaryota, Viridiplantae, Streptophyta, Magnoliopsida, Asterales, Asteraceae. The transcript has 7 exons.
AGGGUUCUGUCCUGUAAAGUUAACCAAAAAGAGUCCUGUAAUCCAAAACUUGAGAGCCAGCCGCCUACACUGAACUCAAGGAAGAAGAAGAAAAUGGGGAAAAGCGGAAAGAAGCAAAGAAAUCGCAAAGACGCAUCUUACUACCUCGAAGAAAAACAAGAAGAAGACCCUCAGCUGCCUCACUCCGAUCAUCCUAAUCUCUCACUCUCCGACGACGAUGAUGAACAACAAUAUUCCGACCACCCAUCUCCUUCUCUCCCUUCAAAGUUCUCACUUUAUCAACAAUCCGUACAGUCACCAAAAGGCGACAUUAGUUAUCUACAGAAGUUCUUUUUCACAUAUGUCGGUGGCAGGCCACCUCUUCAUCUCCAAGAAGAUUUCUGUGGAACCGCUCUUCUGAGUACGGAAUGGCUUAGGAGUGAUUCAAGAAGGACUGCCAUAGGUUUGGAUUUGGAUGCAGAGGCUCUUGAUUGGUGCAUGGAGAACAAUGUCAACAAAAUCGGGGCUGAUAUAUCUUCCAGAAUUUUUCUUUACCACGGGAAUGUGUUGCACCCCAACGAUGCUAUAUUGGUGAAAUCCAAUCUUCAAAACAUAAUGCAUAAUGUGACACUUGAAGUGAAGGAUAAUGAUUCUGAAGGCAUUGUUGAACCCGUUGCUAAUUCUGAAGCUAUUCCUCCUAGAGACAUAGUAUGUGCCUUUAACUAUAGUUGUUGCUGCCUCCAUAGCCGUCAUGAGCUUGUCUUGUAUUUCAAACACGCUCUUAGUACUUUGUCUAAACAAGGUGGGAUAUUUGUGAUGGAUCUCUAUGGUGGUACGUCAUCCGAAUGUGAACUUAGGAUGGAAAGAAGAUUUCCAAGUUUUACGUAUACUUGGGAGCAAGCUGGAUUUGACAUCAUUCAACGGAAAACAAGAAUUAGUCUUCAUUUUACGUUACAAAAGCACCAAAAGAAGAAACUUCGCCAUGCGUUUUCAUACAGCUGGAGAUUGUGGUCUUUACCAGAGAUUAAAGACUGCAUGGAAGAAGCUGGAUUUCGAUCUGUUCAUUUCUGGAUCCGCCAAAUGCCAGACAGUGGGAAUAUCAAAAGCAUGGACGGGUUUGGUGAGGGACGAGAUAUCAAGUAUGAAGAAGCUACAAGUUUUCAACAGCAAGAUUCAUGGAAUGCUUAUAUAGUUGGUGUUUCAUAGUGCUUGUUAUGGUAAACGCUUUCAACACAUUGGAUCUACCUAAUCCUUGAAAAGAAAUUGUAUAAUUUGCUUCAACACAGCUUUGAUUAGUAACGUUAAGAUCUUGGAUGUCUACAUUUCACCAGUAAUAGUGUAAUGGGAAACAAGGUUUCAACUUGUGGACAUUGAAGUGCAGAUUAGUUCAAUUUUACGAAUACUUGGAUGCCUAACAUAUACACUGAUGUUUGUGCUUUGGUCUUACAUUAUACGAGUAAUUUGUAACCAGAUGAUAUUUGGUAGAAGUAAGCUGGAUUAUUUUAGCAUGUGUAUGGAUGGUUAUAAGAUGGUAAAGUGACGAUGGUCUUUUUUAUGGUCAACGUUAAUU